Orbicella faveolata is the source of this 798-nucleotide long non-coding RNA. The record is from RefSeq and is a predicted model, not a curated record. NCBI's taxonomy places the organism in Eukaryota, Metazoa, Cnidaria, Anthozoa, Scleractinia, Merulinidae.
UGCUCUUUAUCUAUGCACUAGGAUCCAUUCUUGCAUUCUUCUUGGGGAUCACUAUGCCACUUGCAGGUAUUCUUCUGCAUGCAGCAACUCGGAAGCGAAACAUGAACACUGGCAGGAUUGCGAACAUACUCGACAUGUUAACUACGCAAGACGUCACCCCGAUGACUAUCAUUCUGGCAAAGAUAUGCACCACUGAGAACGAGCAACAAGAAAGUGGCAUCCAUUGGAACUCAGAAAAUACUGGAAAUUAAAGUAGUUCGGGCCCAAAAACAGCAGACAGUAAUCGGAGAAAUAAACGACAUGGAACGUUCAAUAAUUUGAUUUUCAACAAUGUUGCAAUAACAGCAGGAGCUUCCAUUGCCUUUGGUGGUCGGCACAAAGAGUUGUCAUCAAUUCGUUAUCAGCCUAACAGGACACUUGAGAUGUACAUGGUACAUAUAGUUUUAUAUUUUUUAUAUUCAAUACUGGCUUCUUUUGUAGACAAUAUAGUUUUCACAGAGAAGAGUAUGAUUAUUGUAAUUUAAAAUCGUAUGAAACAGUUAAAAGUAAUUCGUAGAUGUCUAAAAUAAAAUUGAAAUGCUGGGCUCCCCAGACAGGACUGCUGGUCAAGAAAGAGUGAUAAAAAAAAUAAUCUAUUUUUCAAGGUUGGAAUAUUUCAGUAUCCUAGAUUCCUUGUCAGACAGGGAAUUUAAUUUUAAGAGUACGCGGGCUAGCUACAGGUUUUAAUAAUGAGAUUGUCACGUGUUAAAAGAACAGUCCUGUUACACUCAAUAAAAAUUGUUUUAUAGUCAGUGAAAA